Amaranthus tricolor (Joseph's coat) is the source of this 160-nucleotide small nuclear RNA. RefSeq annotates it as U1 spliceosomal RNA. Lineage: Eukaryota; Viridiplantae; Streptophyta; Magnoliopsida; Caryophyllales; Amaranthaceae. The record is from RefSeq and is a predicted model, not a curated record. The transcript has a single exon.
UCACAUACCUGGACGGGGUCUAUGAGUGAUCAUGUAGGCCCAUGGCCUAGGUUGUUAACCUCCAUUGCACAUUGCGGAGGGAAAACUGCCUAAUAUCUCCUGAAGAGGGAGAUUCUAUGUCAAAAUUUGUGGUAGUGGUAGCCUACGUUCGCACCGCCCC